GCACGUUGCAACACCGGUUAUUGUACGAUCGACGAAGUUAAGCAACGUCGAGUCUGGUUAGUACCUACAUAGGUGAGCGCUUGGGAAUACCCGGUGCUGUAAG
Non-coding RNA from Acanthosepion pharaonis, 103 nucleotides. The record is from the annotation of a GenBank genome assembly. NCBI's taxonomy places the organism in Eukaryota, Metazoa, Mollusca, Cephalopoda, Sepiida, Sepiidae.